RNAcentral lists this non-coding RNA (28 nucleotides) under Rattus norvegicus (Norway rat). The record is from RNAcentral. Lineage: Eukaryota; Metazoa; Chordata; Mammalia; Rodentia; Muridae.
UGGUUACAUGUGCCCUUGUUGUGAGAGG